This 699-nucleotide long non-coding RNA is filed under the name Homo sapiens (human). Its description in RNAcentral is "long non-coding RNA NONHSAT149857.1". The record is from RNAcentral. Lineage: Eukaryota; Metazoa; Chordata; Mammalia; Primates; Hominidae.
CAGCCGCAUUCUCAGAUCCUUCACCAUCACCUGCAGCAGGAUGGCCAGACGGGCAGCGGGCAACGUAGCCAGACCAGCUCCAUCCCGCAGAAGCCCCAGACCAACAAGUCUGCCUACAACAGCUACAGCUGGGGGGCCAACUGAGGCCCUGACCCUCUUCUCCCGGUCCCAUCUUCUGAGAGGGCUUCUCAGCCUGGAAACUAUGGAAACAGCAUCAAAGAGAAAGGAAUGUGGGGGGUUUCCGCUGCCCCCCACCCCCAGCGGCCCACCCCAUGCCUCAGCUUCAUGUCUGUCCCAUUCCUAUACCAUCCCCACCCUGUUGUAUGUAUUAUAGGAUUUGUAUUUUCUCCUUUUUUUUCCCCCUUCCAUUCCUUCUCCCCUCUUGCAUUCAAGAUUAUGAAACUUUGCUAUGGGCCCUGCACUUCCUUUGCUUCCUCCUGUUCACCCUGGUGGUGUACGGAUGAGGCGGGGAGGUGGGACCCCCAAACAUAUAUCAGCCCAACAGCCCUAAGUCUCCUUCUUUAUUAUUAGGAAAACAACAACAACAACAAACAAAAAAAUGGCGUCAUGAAUAUGAACAGCAUUGUCAGAUGAAUUAGUUGAAGUGGUUUUUUUUUUGUUUUUUUUUUUUUUUUGUACUGUGUCCUCAAAUUUAAUGGAUUAAUGUGUCUUGUAUAUAUAAAAAGAAAACCUCUACCU